GUAGCUCAGAUGGUUAGAGCGGUGGUCUUAUGAGCCACAGGUCACGGGU
Molecule: transfer RNA, 49 nt
Filed under: Phaeomonas parva
Lineage: Eukaryota; Pinguiophyceae; Pinguiochrysidales; Pinguiochrysidaceae
Description: partial tRNA
Rfam family: tRNA
About the family: Transfer RNA (tRNA) molecules are approximately 80 nucleotides in length. Their secondary structure includes four short double-helical elements and three loops (D, anti-codon, and T loops).
Source: RNAcentral